GAAAUGCGAUAAGUAAUGUGAAUUGUAGAAUUCAGUGAAUCAUCGAAUCUUUGAACGCACAUUGCGCCCGCCAGCACUCUGGCGGGCAUGCCUGUUCGAGCGUCAUUUCAACCCUCAGAACCCCUUGCGGGAUCUGGCGUUGGGGAUUGGCAUCCAGCCAGCCCCGAAAUCUAGUGGCGGUCCCUCCGCGACCUCCCCUGUGCAGUACCGAUACCUCGCAGCGGGACAGCGGUCUGACCACGCCGUAAAACCCCCAACUUCUCAAGGUUGACCUCGAAUCAGGUAGGAAUACCCGCUGAACUUAAGC
This 307-nucleotide unclassified non-coding RNA is filed under the name plant metagenome. Its description in RNAcentral is "partial contains 5.8S ribosomal RNA, internal transcribed spacer 2, and large subunit ribosomal RNA". The stretch from base 1 to 105 matches the Rfam family "5.8S ribosomal RNA", at positions 50 to 154 of the family's 154-position model. The record is from RNAcentral.